This 248-nucleotide ribosomal RNA is filed under the name uncultured Oscillospiraceae bacterium. RNAcentral's name for it is "partial 16S ribosomal RNA". It matches the Rfam family "Bacterial small subunit ribosomal RNA", at positions 524 to 771 of the family's 1533-position model. Lineage: Bacteria; Bacillati; Bacillota; Clostridia; Eubacteriales; Oscillospiraceae. The record is from RNAcentral.
UACAUAGGGAGCAAGCGUUGUCCGGAUUUACUGGGUGUAAAGGGUGCGUAGGCGGCCGAGCAAGUCAGAUGUGAAAUGUAUGGGCUCAACCCAUAGACUGCAUUUGAAACUGUUUGGCUUGAGUGAAGUAGAGGCAGGCGGAAUUCCCGGUGUAGCGGUGAAAUGCGUAGAGAUCGGGAGGAACACCAGUGGCGAAGGCGGCCUGCUGGGCUUUAACUGACGCUGAGGCACGAAAGCGUGGGUAGCAA